Molecule: long non-coding RNA, 568 nt
Organism: Orcinus orca (killer whale)
Lineage: Eukaryota; Metazoa; Chordata; Mammalia; Artiodactyla; Delphinidae
Exons: 4
Source: RefSeq, a predicted model, not a curated record
UUCAGUUCACUCUGGCCAAGCUCCAACUGCCAGCCUCUGCUUCCCUUGGUCUGCAGCCUUUUUCUAAAGAGCCAUGGAAGGCCACUCUGCCCACACCCUGUCCCAGCGGCCCUCAACCACUGACUCUGGGGAGGAGGCAUACAAACUUUGCAGCUCCCUCGCUAUGUGAGUGGCAUCAUUCUGAGGGCCCACCACUGAUGAUGGCAUUUGGAUUCAGUGACUUUUCUUUGCGAUGAGGAUGAAUAAGACAUGAAGUGAGCAGAAGCGGGCAGGAUCCGCACUCAAGAAAUGCCAGACUUGUCCAUCUCUAGGAGAUACAUCCUCGUUGCCUGAAAAACCCCUUCUUUCUUCCAAACUCUGUCAAUAGAGAAAAAAUUGCACAAUGUAAAAGUUGAGAGUUAUGUUUUAUUUGGCAGACGGCACUGAGGACUUAAGCCCAGGAUGCAGCCUCUUAGAUACCUCUGAGGGACUGCUCUGAAGAGGUUUAUGUGGACCAAGAGCAGCAUGCACAAGGAUGUGGCAGAGCCUCCAUGACAUAUUAAAGAGUGACACUACUAACAUACCACUG